GCCCUUCAAGCUCAGAAGGCAGAGCGCGCCCGUGAAGUGGGCGAGGUUCUCCGUUCGAUCCGGAGGAAGGGCAC
RNAcentral lists this transfer RNA (74 nucleotides) under Phytohabitans houttuyneae. RNAcentral's name for it is "tRNA-Phe". Lineage: Bacteria; Bacillati; Actinomycetota; Actinomycetes; Micromonosporales; Micromonosporaceae. The record is from RNAcentral.